GAUGAACGCUAGCGGCAGGCCUAACACGUGCAAGUCGAGGGAGAAGCCCUUUCGGGGGCAGAAACCGGCGCACGGGUGCGUAACGCGUAUGCAACCUACCUUUCACAGGGGGAUAGCCCGAAGAAAUUUGGAUUAAUACCCCAUAAUAUUAUUGGAUGGCAUCAUUUGAUAAUUAAAACUGCGGUGGUGAAAGAUGGGCAUGCGUCCUAUUAGCUAGUUGGAGUGGUAACGGCACCCCAAGGCUACGAUAGGUAGGGGUCCUGAGAGGGAGAUCCCCCACACUGGUACUGAGACAGGGACCAGACUCCUACGGGAGGCAGCAGUGAGGAAUAUUGGUCAAUGGUCGGAAGACUGAACCAGCCAUGCCGCGUGCAGGAAGAAUGCCUUAUGGGUUGUAAACUGCUUUUAUAUGGGAAGAAUAAGGCGUACGUGUACGUUGAUGACGGUACCAUAUGAAUAAGCAUCGGCUAACUCCGUG
Molecule: ribosomal RNA, 478 nt
Filed under: uncultured bacterium
Lineage: Bacteria
Description: partial 16S ribosomal RNA
Rfam family: Bacterial small subunit ribosomal RNA
Source: RNAcentral